This 468-nucleotide ribosomal RNA is filed under the name uncultured bacterium. RNAcentral describes it as "partial 16S ribosomal RNA". It matches the Rfam family "Bacterial small subunit ribosomal RNA", at positions 28 to 507 of the family's 1533-position model. The record is from RNAcentral.
GACGAACGCUGGCGGCGUGCUUAACACAUGCAAGUCGAACGGACAGGCCCUGCUUUUGUGGGGUGCUCGAGUGGCGAACGGGUGUGUAACACGUGAGUAACCUGCCCUUGACUUUGGGAUAACUUCAGGAAACUGGGGCUAAUACCGGAUAGGAGCUCCUGCUGCAUGGUGGUGGUUGGAAAGUUUCGGCGGUUGGGGAUGGACUCGCGGCUUAUCAGCUUGUUGGUGGGGUAGUGGCUUACCAAGGCUUUGACGGGUAGCCGGCCUGAGAGGGUGACCGGCCACAUUGGGACUGAGAUACGGCCCAGACUCCUACGGGAGGCAGCAGUGGGGAAUAUGGCACAAUGGGCGGAAGCCUGAUGCAGCAACGCCGCGUGCGGGAUGACGGCCUUCGGGUUGUAAACCGCUUUCGCCUGUGACGAAGCGUGAGUGACGGUAAUGGGUAAAGAAGCACCGGCUAACUACGUG